Non-coding RNA from Phalacrocorax carbo (great cormorant), 1392 nucleotides. The record is from RefSeq and is a predicted model, not a curated record. NCBI's taxonomy places the organism in Eukaryota, Metazoa, Chordata, Aves, Suliformes, Phalacrocoracidae.
GAGUCCUUAAAAGGGUUAAUAAAAAUUUAGCCAAAUCAUUUUCCAAUGAAGAAUGGGAGCUUUUGCAUGAACAUUUCUAUUUUGGUUAUAACUUCUCAAGAGAACAGGCAAUACAAAUCAUCCUAGUUUUGUUCUGACAUGUAACAUGUUUGACCUUGUUGCUUCUUCUCGACUAUUCCAUUUUGACAUUUCAAACUUCUUUCAAAUUAAAUGUUUAAUAAAUGUGACUCACUUCUUUUCCAUUCUGCUUGUCCUAACAGUUAGAUUCUUUAAAUUUUUCUUUCCUUUAAGGACAAAAACUUCAAAAUUCUGAUGUUUGCUAUAGAGAUUCCACUUAAACAUUCUUUAAAUCUAUGGAUCUGAUGUUCAACAGUACCAAAACCUAUCUGAAACUGUCUUCGCAAAAAAGCGUGCUGCUUUGUGUACUCUGUAACAUCUGGUUCCCUGGCUCUCCCAUCUCUUCUCGGUGCCUGUGUCUACACUACUAAACUGAACAGGGAAUGGGCCUGAGCUCUGCCAUGUAAUCAAUCCAUACUCUCACACUGCUGUGGUCUAUGGCAUGGUUUUGGCUCCAGCUUAUUAGUGCUCCCUCAGACAUUGCCUGAGCAUGUUUCCAGUUUAGCACCUCCCAGGACUGUGAGCAACAGAAAUUUUGGAUUUGAACCCUCUCUUUUAUGGGAAUAAGGAAGGCCAGCAGUAAGGACAUGGACUGCGUCAUGACCAAGAACGUGCCUGACCUAUUUUAUUUGUGCAGAUAGAGCAAACGAGAAGAGAGGGAAGACCUACUCUUGGAAAUGAUUUGUAGAAGAAUAAGGUUCACUUGAUUAAAAAUGUACUUCUGUUACAAGACUCACAAAUAUUUCAUUAACAGCAGUCUAAUUUUUUAUAGGAUGAAAGUGAAGAGCACCACAGCAGCUUCUGCUCUCAUGCCACAUUCCCUCGCUGGGGCCUGAAAAAAAUGAAGAAUAUUCAAGCUACUUGUUAGUGGGAUCAGAAGACGUUCAUUCUUCUAGGUGUAGGUGAAACCAAAAAAACAGAAUGGUACAAGGGGUAUGUGUGCUGUUAGAGGUUUGAUUUGCCACAUCAAACAGCACACUGUUUGACACUCUUCGAAUCACAGAAUCACAGAAUCACAGAAUCACAGGUUGGAAGGGACCUCAGGGAUCAUCUAGUCCAACCCUUCUUUGCUUUUUUACUGGCUUCUUGGGAGCUUGUCUACACAUGAAAUUAAUUCAUCAACUCCUCCUGAAUAUUCCUGUUUUGAAAUAAAGAAGCUAUGAAUGAUCCUGGGAACAGAAGACUUCUCAUCUGAUAGAUUACAUACUUUUGGAAUGGAUGGAAUGAAUGUUGCAAUACAGAAGCGUCCAAGGAACUUCUACAGUGAACAGUAUU